GUGAAUCAUCGAAUUUUUGAACGCAAACUGCACUCUCUUCGGAGAGUAUGCCUGUUUGAGGGUCAGCCUAAAAAAAAAUCGACAUAGUCGCUGUUUCGCGGUGACAUUCGUCGGGAAUUGGGUUAUCUUAAACCUUUGGGUUCUAAGCGGCUUAAAAUUUUCUUUACGAUUCCACGAUCGUUUCUAAGAUUUACUUCUUAUACGUUGAAGGUUUCGAUCUUUAUUAAACGGGGUCGUUGCAUCUGAGUUCGUCC
Molecule: unclassified non-coding RNA, 254 nt
Filed under: Glomus sp.
Lineage: Eukaryota; Fungi; Glomeromycota; Glomeromycetes; Glomerales; Glomeraceae
Description: partial contains 5.8S ribosomal RNA and internal transcribed spacer 2
Rfam family: 5.8S ribosomal RNA (bases 1-65)
Source: RNAcentral